This 23-nucleotide non-coding RNA is filed under the name Arabidopsis thaliana (thale cress). Lineage: Eukaryota; Viridiplantae; Streptophyta; Magnoliopsida; Brassicales; Brassicaceae. The record is from RNAcentral.
CUAUGUUUGGGAAACUACAAACA